CCUAGGGGAGGCAGCAGUGGGGAAUAUUGGACAAUGGGCGAAAGCCUGAUCCAGCCAUGCCGCGUGUGUGAAGAAGGCCUUCGGGUUGUAAAGCACUUUCAGUGGGGAAGAAAGCCUUGGGGCUAAUACCCUCGAGGAAGGACAUCACCCACAGAAGAAGCACCGGCUAACUCCGUGCCAGCAGCCGCGGUAAUACGGAGGGUGCGAGCGUUAAUCGGAAUUACUGGGCGUAAAGCGCGCGUAGGCGGUCUGAUAAGCCGGUUGUGAAAGCCCCGGGCUCAACCUGGGAACGGCAUCCGGAACUGUCAGGCUAGAGUGCAGGAGAGGAAGGUAGAAUUCCCGGUGUAGCGGUGAAAUGCGUAGAGAUCGGGAGGAAUACCAGUGGCGAAGGCGGCCUUCUGGACUGACACUGACGCUGAGGUGCGAAAGCGUGGGUAGCAAACAGGAUUAGAUACCCUUGUAGUC
This 465-nucleotide ribosomal RNA is filed under the name Vreelandella stevensii. RNAcentral describes it as "partial 16S ribosomal RNA". It matches the Rfam family "Bacterial small subunit ribosomal RNA", at positions 338 to 795 of the family's 1533-position model. Lineage: Bacteria; Pseudomonadati; Pseudomonadota; Gammaproteobacteria; Oceanospirillales; Halomonadaceae. The record is from RNAcentral.